AUGCUAGCAAAAGCAUUUGAAGUAAAAGAUCUUGGGCAUCUAAAUUACUUUCUAGGAAUUGAAGUUGCAUAUUCAUCACAAGGUAUAUAUCUCUCACAGCGGAAAUAUGUUCUUGAUUUACUUGUUGAGACUGGAAUGCUAGACUGUAAACCUGCCUCUACACCAAUUGAGGCAAACCAUCGAAUUAAGGCAGAUAUGGGUGAUCCUGUUGAUAAAGGUCAGUAUCAACGGCUGGUAGGGAGACUAAUCUAUUUGUCCCAUACUAGGCCAGAUAUUGCAUAUGCUGUGAGUAUUGUGAGCAGAUAUAUGCAUGACCCAAGAUCUACACAUUUAAAUGCUGCAUAUAGAAUCUUGAGAUACCUAAAGGGAUGCCCUGGGAAAGGAAUUCUAUUCUCAAAUUCUGGACAUCUCAGUAUAGAGUGUUACACAGAUGCUGACUGGGCUGGGUGUCUAGAUGAUAGAAGGUCCACUUCUGGCUACUGCAUCUUUGUUGGAGGAAAUUUGGUUAGCUGGAGGAGAAAAAAACAAAGUGUAGUGGCCAGGUCUACUGCUGAAGCAGAGUUACGGUCCAUGGUCUCUGGAAUAUGUGAAUUAGUAUGGCUACGCUUACUACUUACUGAACUACAAUUGUACAAAGGGGGCCUCUUCGGAUCUACUGUGAUAAUCAAGCCACAAUAA
This 678-nucleotide ribosomal RNA is filed under the name Triticum aestivum (bread wheat). Its description in RNAcentral is "partial small subunit ribosomal RNA". Lineage: Eukaryota; Viridiplantae; Streptophyta; Magnoliopsida; Poales; Poaceae. The record is from RNAcentral.